Molecule: ribosomal RNA, 565 nt
Filed under: Salmonella enterica subsp. enterica serovar Typhimurium
Lineage: Bacteria; Pseudomonadati; Pseudomonadota; Gammaproteobacteria; Enterobacterales; Enterobacteriaceae
Description: bacterial SSU rRNA
Rfam family: Bacterial small subunit ribosomal RNA
Source: RNAcentral
CAACGCGAAGAACCUUACCUGGUCUUGACAUCCACAGAACUUUCCAGAGAUGGAUUGGUGCCUUCGGGAACUGUGAGACAGGUGCUGCAUGGCUGUCGUCAGCUCGUGUUGUGAAAUGUUGGGUUAAGUCCCGCAACGAGCGCAACCCUUAUCCUUUGUUGCCAGCGAUUAGGUCGGGAACUCAAAGGAGACUGCCAGUGAUAAACUGGAGGAAGGUGGGGAUGACGUCAAGUCAUCAUGGCCCUUACGACCAGGGCUACACACGUGCUACAAUGGCGCAUACAAAGAGAAGCGACCUCGCGAGAGCAAGCGGACCUCAUAAAGUGCGUCGUAGUCCGGAUUGGAGUCUGCAACUCGACUCCAUGAAGUCGGAAUCGCUAGUAAUCGUGGAUCAGAAUGCCACGGUGAAUACGUUCCCGGGCCUUGUACACACCGCCCGUCACACCAUGGGAGUGGGUUGCAAAAGAAGUAGGUAGCUUAACCUUCGGGAGGGCGCUUACCACUUUGUGAUUCAUGACUGGGGUGAAGUCGUAACAAGGUAACCGUAGGGGAACCUGCGGUUGGA